GGUAACCUUGCAGUACCAAGUGGUGGGUGAACAACCAUAGUGAUCGAAAUCAGUCAUCAUCUGCUUGUGAAACUCCUUUACAUUUCCGUUAAUCCUCGAAACACAAAGUGCACGGCCGGGCAGUCACUUGAGGUCACAAUACAUGGACAAGAUGCAGAGAGAAAGACAAAACGCAUCAAACGGCAGGUGUGCGGGAGAGGAGAUUCAAUACACCUUUCUGAAGAUAAGUUUGUUUCCACGUAAGAACUGGAGAGAGGAGUUGCGAUGAAGUGGAUUUUCUGCAGGAGAGUGAAAAGUGAGGCUGCAUCUCGGUCACGAGCGGAGGGGAAAGGAAGGAAGGAUGGAAGGAUCGGGGAGCAGAUACAAGAAGUGAAAAAUUUCAAUCUAUUCCUUCGUCGCUACUUGAGGGAGGUAUAAAUUCUGAUCGUGCCUUGCCUUGAAAACACUGCUCCAUCUCUCUCUCUCUCUCUCUCUCCCUCUCCUUUCCCAUUCUUGAGAUGUUGCUUAAGUGUGAGAAGAGACGAUGACGCAAUGCAACACAACACAACACAACACAACACAACACAGCAUCACCCAAAAUACACAAACACAUUGUCAUUUAUCCUCGCGACAGUACUGAGAGACCUAAGAAAAUAAUGAAAACAGUGAAUGUGGAACGUGAUCUAGAGAGAAUAAUAAACUUGGAAGAAGAGAAUGAAUAAAAGGUCAAAGAACACAAAUGAAGAACGAGAGAGAGACGAGUACGAGGAAAUAGUGGAACGAGAGGAUGAAGGUGGAAUGUAGCGCAGAGGUGAUUGGAUUGAAAGCUAAGAGGAAAACAACAAAAGUCUUGAUAACGAGAACGAAAACGAAGACGAGGACGCGAAGGGCUAUCAGCUAUCAGAAGGAGGAAGAGAAAACAAUGUACAAACGGAAUGAGUGAAAGUGGAAUGCUGGAACUGCUGGAAGAUGUGAAGAAAAUCAAUAAAAAGAAGAAUAACGAAAAUGAAGACGAGGAGAGGAACAAAGAGGAGGAUGAGAGAAUAGUAAGACAAAAUAAGUAAAGGUGGAAUACUGGAAAGGCUGGAAAAUGAAAUAAAAGAAUAUCUGGAAACUGGAACAAGAAUGAGAACGAGAACGAGGACGAGGACGAGAGAUUUGAUCCGCGACCUGGCAGGCUCAGAAGUCCAGUGGCGAGGACAAAGGUCGAGGAGACGCGGAGGGGACACGUGCUGGAAAUGUAACAUGCAGACACGCUCGGGCCGUUAAGGCGGGGGAUCCUGGGGCUGGAGGAAGGCUCUCGGGAAGGCCCUGGGACGUGUCUAACGGCGUGACUCCUCGCUGCGGUGUCUGGUGUUUGUUGCCCCAGCCCCCCACCUCCUGCACCACCUUCUGCACCGCCUCCUGCACCGCCUCCUGCACCGCCUCCUGCACCGCCACUGCCAGGCACAUAUCUGCUGGGGAGGGCCCGCUAUUGGUCGCCCAGUGGAUGUCUUCCGCUUCUUCCUCCCGUGUGAUUGGUGAGUACGAUGGAUUGAUCAUUACUGUGUGCAAGGGUGUGACUUAUAUGCCAAGUUAACCUGAACAGAGGAAGAAAAUGCAAACACUAUUGGGUGAAAAUGUUUGCUGAAAGCCGCAAUGAUAGAGAUUUUUUUACCUCAUAUACACGUAAAUGUCGUGCGUUCGUGACCACCCAGGCGUGUUGCACGGGGAGAGGCACCCCUGUACUGUUGCUGCAAUGCCCUUGAUCAUGGCUUCAUAUCGUGGUAGUCAUGUGGCGGGAGAGAUAACGCCUUUCCGUAACGCCAAUAUGGAUAAUUACCGUUCCUUUUCUAUC
Long non-coding RNA from Scylla paramamosain (green mud crab), 1816 nucleotides. RefSeq lists it as uncharacterized. The record is from RefSeq and is a predicted model, not a curated record. The transcript is spliced from 3 exons. NCBI's taxonomy places the organism in Eukaryota, Metazoa, Arthropoda, Malacostraca, Decapoda, Portunidae.